UACGUAGGUGGCAAGCGUUGUCCGGAUUUACUGGGCGUAAAGGGCGUGCAGGCGGUUUGUUAAGUGCAGGGUGAAAGCUCCCGGCUUAACUGGGAAACUGCAUCGGAAACUGAUCGGCUUGAAGGUGGGAGAGGGUAGUGGAAUUCCCGGUGUAGUGGUGAAAUGCGUAGAUAUCGGGAGGAACACCAGUGGCGAAGGCGACUACCUGGCCCAUUCUUGACGCUGAGGCGCGAAAGCUAGGGGAGCGAACGGG
RNAcentral lists this ribosomal RNA (253 nucleotides) under uncultured bacterium. RNAcentral's name for it is "partial 16S ribosomal RNA". It matches the Rfam family "Bacterial small subunit ribosomal RNA", at positions 524 to 776 of the family's 1533-position model. The record is from RNAcentral.